AGCACGCCGGUCCUUGGCACAUCCCUCAGGUCACCUCGCCCGGGAGUGUAACAGUGAGACAGACGCGUGUGCCGGAGUACUGGAGACUGCAUCUCCGCGCCACGCCACUCGCAGCGCCACCGCCACCUUCACUUGCCCAUAUUGUGGCGGUGACGGGGACACGUUCUCUUGACAUCCUGAAAGGUUUCGAGGAAUAAGGGAACAGUUGAUGAUGGAGACGUCGGAGGUUCUUCGUCCUGCACCGCCAGACUCCCUGACGAACUGGUGUGGCUCUGGCGGGGUCACAGUGCUACUAAGACGGGAAUCCAGACUUAGGAAGGUUAGUUUUUUGGUCUUUGCAUGCACCUUGGUCUCUUUAUUAGUAGAUUCUUUAGUAAUUUAGCACUUUACUGUUUUGUAUGUUUUGCAGCGUCUGUAUUUUUUAUUUUUUCAAUUUUCUUUUUUUCAUGUGUUAUUAUUUUGUCCUUUUUUUUUCUAUACUUUCUAUUUUUGUGUAGUUGUUUUCUCUUAUCUAGCUUAGUUUCAAAUG
This is a long non-coding RNA of Scylla paramamosain (green mud crab), 529 nucleotides long. RefSeq lists it as uncharacterized. The transcript has 5 exons. Lineage: Eukaryota; Metazoa; Arthropoda; Malacostraca; Decapoda; Portunidae. The record is from RefSeq and is a predicted model, not a curated record.